UACAGAGGGUGCAAGCGUUAAUCGGAAUUACUGGGCGUAAAGCGCGCGCAGGCGGUUUGUUAAGUUGGAUGUGGAAGCCCCGGGCUCAACCUUGGAACUGCAUCCAAAACUGGCAAGCUAGAGUACGGUAGAGGGAGGUGGAAUUUCCUGUGUAGCGGUGAAAUGCGUAGAUAUAGGAAGGAACACCUGUGGCGAAGGCGACCACCUGGACUGAUACUGACACUGAGGUGCGAAAGCGUCGGGAGCAAACAGA
RNAcentral lists this unclassified non-coding RNA (253 nucleotides) under uncultured Pseudomonadaceae bacterium. RNAcentral describes it as "contains 16S-23S intergenic spacer region". It matches the Rfam family "Bacterial small subunit ribosomal RNA", at positions 524 to 776 of the family's 1533-position model. The record is from RNAcentral. Lineage: Bacteria; Pseudomonadati; Pseudomonadota; Gammaproteobacteria; Pseudomonadales; Pseudomonadaceae.